Molecule: ribosomal RNA, 277 nt
Filed under: uncultured prokaryote
Description: partial 16S ribosomal RNA
Rfam family: Bacterial small subunit ribosomal RNA
Source: RNAcentral
UACGUAGGGGGCUAGCGUUAUCCGGAAUUACUGGGCGUAAAGGGUGCGUAGGUGGUUUCUUAAGUCAGAGGUGAAGGGCUACGGCUCAACCGUAGUAAGCCUUUGAAACUGGGAAACUUGAGUGCAGGAGAGGAGAGUGGAAUUCCUAGUGUAGCGGCGAAAUGCGUAGAUAUUAGGAGGAACACCAGUUGCGAAGGCGGCUCUCUGGACUGUAACUGACACUGAGGCACGAAAGCGUGGGGAGCAAACAGGAUUAGAUACCCUGGUAGUCCCUGAG